UGCCUCGUGGUGUAACGGUAGCACAACUGACUCUGGAUCAGUUUGUCAUAGUUCGAAUCUAUGCGAGGCAACCA
RNAcentral lists this transfer RNA (74 nucleotides) under Kiritimatiellia bacterium. Its description in RNAcentral is "Kiritimatiellae bacterium (gut metagenome) tRNA-Gln". It matches the Rfam family "tRNA". Rfam says of the family: Transfer RNA (tRNA) molecules are approximately 80 nucleotides in length. Their secondary structure includes four short double-helical elements and three loops (D, anti-codon, and T loops). The record is from RNAcentral. Lineage: Bacteria; Pseudomonadati; Kiritimatiellota; Kiritimatiellia.